This 519-nucleotide ribosomal RNA is filed under the name uncultured eukaryote. RNAcentral describes it as "SSU rRNA". It matches the Rfam family "Eukaryotic small subunit ribosomal RNA", at positions 1161 to 1706 of the family's 1831-position model. The record is from RNAcentral.
AGGGCACCACCAGGAGUGGAGCCUGCGGCUUAAUUUGACUCAACGCGGGAAAACUCACCCGGCCCGGACACCGUAAGGAUUGACAGAUUGAGAGCUCUUUCUUGAUUCGGUGGGUGGUGGUGCAUGGCCGUUCUUAGUUGGUGGAGCGAUUUGUCUGGUUAAUUCCGAUAACGAACGAGACUCUAGCCUACUAAAUAGUGACUGAAUUUUUAGUUCAGUAUACUUCUUAGAGGGACAAAGGGUAUCUAGCCCUACGAGAUUGAGCAAUAACAGGUCUGUGAUGCCCUUAGAUGUCCGGGGCUGCACGCGCUACACUGAAGGAGUCAACAUGCAUUGAAACCUAGUCUGGAAAGACCGGGUAACCCAAUGAAACUCCUUCGUGAUUGGGAUAGGGAAUUGUAAUUAUUUCCCUUGAACGAGGAAUUCCUAGUAAAUGCGGGUCAUCAUCUCGCGUUGAUUACGUCCCUGCCCUUUGUACACACCGCCCGUCGCUACUACCGAUUGGAUGUUUCGGUGAGG